UAGUCUCGAUCAUCCAGCCGCUUUAUUUUUCAAAGUAGAGCGUCUGGAUGACAAGUGAUAUAAAAAUGGUAAUUUAUGACAUUCGGAAUAGUAUCGGCUUUUUUAGCUUGUUUUUAAAGAUAAUGUCCAAGACGAAUAACCAAGAAGUUGGUUAUUGACUUCGGAAGAAAUUAUAUUACGAUAAUACUAUUGAAAAGCCCGAGUGUACCGAUUGUUGUUUAAAGCUAUUUAUAUUUUGUUUGUGACGACAUACAAGUCGUGGAAAACACCAGACAGCAUGGCUUCCAUGACCGCGAAGGAAAAUAACAGCACAUCAAACCUUGGUAAGAUGAUAUAACAACACAAACUGUUACAUAAAUUUUAAUGCAAACUGAAACAGCGAGUAGUUAUAUAUUCUUUCAUGCAUGUCCGUGCUACGUAAGCAAGUUACUAAUUAUACAAUAAAUGGCAAUUUUUGUAUUGACUGGGACCACUCGAACAGUCGUGUGUACGCUAUAAAUACAUUUUGGGGUUGUUAACUUUAAAAAUACUUGAUGGAAAAGUGAUAUGACGCCGAAAUAUGAACUUCAUCCAAGAUAAGUUUGUUGUAUUUAUAUGUAGUGUAUAAAGGAGUUUGCAUUUUGAUAUGUGUAAAAAAAAAGGGGGGGAGGAGAGAUGCGCAAUGUUGUACACAUUUGAAGGAGGGAACGCAAUUCAAAAACAUAAGCAGACGAAAAACAAACAAAGUAUAUCUAGAAGAUGCCACUGAUUUUGUACAUACACCAAACGGUCAAAAUGAUUUAUGCUCGAUUUUUUUUUAAAACAAAUGCAUUUAGCUUAUACAAACAUUAUAAGAAGUGCGACACGUUGUUAUGAAAAGUAAUUUAAAUAUACUGUUACUAAACAAAGUCUUGACUGGUCAACUUAAAAAAGAAAAAUACUUUUUUGCACUUUUAAGAGGCAUUUUUUUCCACACUAAAAAAGUCCAUAAAAGAAUACAAAUGUUGUCAGUGAAUAUAUACCAAUUGGUUAUCUAAACCUUGAAACAAAACCAUGGCAUGAGGAAUACACUGUAAAUUUGUUUUUAUGCAAAACAAGACAGUAAAACAAUAGAUGCAGCAUCAACGAAAGGAGGUGUCAAUGAGGCAGCAACCGGUGAACCCAAUGACAUACAUUACAAAAGUAGACAUCAAUAUGAUUAAGAGGACAUCUUGUUGACUUCAACAAAAAUUGAGAAUAAAAGUACCAAAAGGUCAACAUUAUACAAGUAAGAACAUGCGGUAUGAAUACCAAUGAGACAACUAUCCACCCCAAGUUCAAAGGAGGUGGAUGAGAGCAAGUAUAGGCAACUGUAUGGCCCUUAACAAUGAUAAAAUUCAUGCAUGAUUUUGAUAGAGAAUACAGACAGGGAAUGUGUCAAAGAAACAUCAACCCGACAAAAGAGCAGGAAACAACUCAAUGCCACCAAUGGGUCGUGUCAUCACCACAGCGAGAUAAUCUCGCAUCCCGUAUUUCUAAAUGUAUAUUUCUAUAUGAUGUUUUUUUCCAAACAUUUUGUUUUUCAUAUAUGCUAUGCUGGUGACCAAAAAUUAUUAGGAUUAAUAUGAUAUUAACAUUUACUUUAUUUUGUAGACAAACCAAUGAUGAUUUCGGGACACAGAUGUUAUGUGUAAAAUGUGAAGAAUUUAAAAAAAUCUAUAUAAAUAUUCGAAUUUUCAUUGUAUCAUAAACAGCUUCAAUUUUAUAAGAAAAAAGAUUCAAAGAUUUUUUUUUAAUUACUGAAGCAGCAAUCAUUAUAAAUAAAUCACAGUAUCAAAAAUGUUGGGUUAACAUUAUUUUGACAGCAACCACAAAGCGAAAAAAGGUACACAGACAUAUAUUAAGUAAAUGAAACAAACAUCAAGAAACACAUUGUUGUCAGAUAUGUCGGAGAAUUUUAAAGAUUUGUAUUAACAAAUUAAAAAUCAUAUAAACAAUUUAACAGUUUUCAUGUUUGCGUUGUAUCUCAUUUACAUGUCUGGCCCUUCUCAGUUAACUAUAUGGUAUGGAGUUUUCUUAAUAUUGGAGGCCGAGCAGUGAUUAUAUUUGCGAAUAUCCAUGUCAUUUGAAC
RNAcentral lists this long non-coding RNA (2089 nucleotides) under Mytilus galloprovincialis (Mediterranean mussel). Lineage: Eukaryota; Metazoa; Mollusca; Bivalvia; Mytilida; Mytilidae. The record is from RNAcentral.